This 716-nucleotide long non-coding RNA is filed under the name Rhinopithecus bieti (black snub-nosed monkey). RNAcentral's name for it is "lncRNA (ENSRBIG00000045560.1)". The record is from RNAcentral. Lineage: Eukaryota; Metazoa; Chordata; Mammalia; Primates; Cercopithecidae.
AUGCGCGCCGCAACCAGCCUCUGGUCCCGGAUAUUAAGACUUCUGGAGGGUUCCCGCGUGAGGGCGGGGCCAGAACCGGAACCGAACAGCUACCGACGGGCCUCGGAGCGGAAGCCCGGGGCGACGCCAGCGGGCCCUAGUUGCUGGUGCGCGCGCCUCGUCUUGGCGGGAGCGCGAGGGGCGGGGUCUUGCCAUGCGCUUGCGCACUUUGGGGACGUAGGUGCCGCCGGCGUGUACGUCUUUUUCUAUCUUUGCACGUUUGCUAGGCGGGAUUCUAUAAACCUGGAGAGUAAUCCUAAGAAAAAUCAUCAGAAGAAAGGAAUUUGUAGAACUAAAACUGCAAACAUCCAGAAUCUUGAUGGUGUGCCAAGCCAAAUGUCAACUGGAACUCAACCAAAAACUAAACAAUGUUCCAACAUUGAAAAUGAUCUCAAAGAUGAUUUCUACCCCUUUUAGAAGAAGGAAUACAAUGGAUUACAUUUCUGGUCUGGUAAUUCUCUGAGAAUCUUCAUGCAAAUAAUGAGAACUAGCAAAAUGGGCAGAGAUAAAGAAAAGAAAACUUGAAGUGAUUAGCCCCAUGGUGCGUGGCUGUUUCUUGAGCUUUUCAUAUGCAAAGGCACCAUUGUUUGGAUUAAUAAAAUUAGCACAUUCCAUUUCGGCUGUAGAAGCUGAAUAAGUAAAUUACUUCAUACUUUAAACUAAACUCUAAUUUAAAC